This 493-nucleotide ribosomal RNA is filed under the name uncultured bacterium. Its description in RNAcentral is "bacterial SSU rRNA". It matches the Rfam family "Bacterial small subunit ribosomal RNA", at positions 28 to 511 of the family's 1533-position model. The record is from RNAcentral.
GAUGAACGCUAGCUACAGGCUUAACACAUGCAAGUCGAGGGGCAGCGGGAUUGAAGCUUGCUUCAAUUGCCGGCGACCGGCGCACGGGUGAGUAACGCGUAUCCAACCUUCCGUACACUCAGGGAUAGCCUUUCGAAAGAAAGAUUAAUACCUGAUGGUAUGAUGAGAUUGCAUGAUAGCAUCAUUAAAGAUUUAUCGGUGUACGAUGGGGAUGCGUUCCAUUAGGUAGUAGGCGGGGUAACGGCCCACCUAGCCAACGAUGGAUAGGGGUUCUGAGAGGAAGGUCCCCCACAUUGGAACUGAGACACGGUCCAAAACUCCUACGGGAGGCAGCAGUGAGGAAUAUUGGUCAAUGGACGAGAGUCUGAACCAGCCAAGUAGCGUGCAGGAUGACGGCCCUAUGGGUUGUAAACUGCUUUUAUAAGGGAAUAAAGUGAGUCUCGUGAGACUUUUGCAUGUACCUUAUGAAUAAGGACGGCUAAUUCCGUGCCAG